This is a non-coding RNA of Nothobranchius furzeri (turquoise killifish), 2062 nucleotides long. The record is from RefSeq and is a predicted model, not a curated record. NCBI's taxonomy places the organism in Eukaryota, Metazoa, Chordata, Actinopteri, Cyprinodontiformes, Nothobranchiidae.
GGGAAUAUUUACUAUCAUCUCACACUAAACACUAACAGGAACAAUACUCUGCCCUGAAAAUGCUUAACAUGUAGCUUCAGAUUAAAAAUUAUGUGGUACAAGACAUGUAUGAUGUUGACAAGUGCGUGUCACGUGUGUGUGUGUGUGUGUGUGUGUUUGUGUGUGUGCGCGCGCGUGUGUGUUAAAGAGCAAGUAACGUCUAAAUUAACUUUUUUUUGCUGAUGAACUGUAUAAAUGAGUGUCUAAUAGUGUUUUAAAUGUGUGCAUUCUUUAUUUUAGCAUUUUGGUGCAUUUUCUUUAAAAAUUAAAAAUUCUGUCUAAAAACCACAGUAAUGCGCCACCUUCAGCUGAAAACAUAGAAUUUGAGUCAUUUUGAAUAAAUUUUAGCCAAUGGCUAAAGAGUAAAGUACUACGUAAACCAGUAGAGUACUACGUAGCAGCUCCGUGCCAAAGUUAUAAAAGCAACGAGCGUCUCGGCCACGCCCUGUGGCGAGUGGGAGUUGGAUUUGCAAGCGAGUGUAGGAGGUCAGCGGUAGUUCAGCAUUAGCAUAUAGCAUUAGCAUAUCCUAGUCUUUAGCAUAUCUUUUAGUGUUAUAAAUACUUAUUUAGUGUUAGCUUGGCUGUUGUAUAUUAUAGUUUAGUUAGUGUUUGGCUGUUAGUGUAAUUGGGAAAGUAUUUCGGGUUUAGUGUUCCAUAUCGUCUUAGUAUUGGUGAGUAGGUGUAGUGUAGUAUGGUUGCGGUGACUCUGUGGGCAUUUUACCCGCGAUUCUGCACGUCUCCGUUUGAAGAGGGAGGCUGUGCCCACCGUGGCUCUUCCUUGAUUUAGAUGCAGCCCACCGACUCUGCUCCCCCACCACGGCGGGCUCCAGUCUGAGGUGAGUAAGCUAAGUAAACGUUUUAACAUCUUCUAAAGACAAUUCCCUACCUAAAUGCAAAGUCUGAGAGACGUGGUUCACUUCCUUUAGCUAGUCAGUCGGCAAUUCUGCAACAGUGACUCUAACUGACGCAGCACUUGUUGACAGCAUUACAGCGUGAAAUCCAGCUUGUGACCCGGUUCUGUGAGGAAUUCUGUUCAGGAGGUCGCAUUUCAGGCUCUCCACAUCAUAUGUGACUGACUUUUACGUUAUAACGAUCACACACUAGGAAUGUUAUAAAGCGCCUAUAUAGGAGAUUCUUUUGUAUAUUAUCUGACUAUAAACUCCAACAACAAUGUGCUUCUAUUUUUUUUUUCAGGCUAAAUCUACCCAAGACACUGGCUGUCAGACUGAUUUAGCUGCAUGAAUGUACUUGUCCAGGCUGAUGUGAAACCUUCCCUGUAGCAAAGCCAGCCAGAAUGGAGUUCACAGCCGCAGUGUGUCUGGUGACCCACGGGGACCAUGAUGAAAAUUCAUCUUCCAGAAGGUCCCAGAGCGUCCAGACCCCCUGAAAAGACCAAGGUGUGAGGUGUCUGCUGUUGAUUCCAGCUUCCACCUCAGUGACAGUGCAAGCUCAGUGAACUGUUCAAGGUAAAAAAAAAAUUAAAACAUUUCAGAAUUUUUAAGAUAUUAACAAUUAAAUAAGUAUGUGAUUACAUCAUGACGGAGGCUACUGAUUCUGCCCGUGACACUUGGUGGUGACGUGUAAGCUGAUUCUCCUGGAAAAUAACUUUUACAUUAAAUAUUUUGUUUUUGCUAUCAAAAGUAAAUUAACUAAUAACCUGCAUUAUUGCAGGACAUUCAGCAAAAUAUGGACUACACCAUGAGGCAUGCACACAUUAAUAUUCUAUAAGAGCACAUAAGGUGAGCAACACCACAUAUUGUACACUGUCCUGAAUUUGUUUUCUUUCUGCAUCUCAUUAGCCUGGCUGAUCACCUGAUAACUCCUGUCAUCUGGUUGUGACAGCAUGAGGAUGUCCUCACACACCUGUAACCUAUCAGCUCAUCUGGCAGAAUAGAGAGAGAAGAGCCAACACCACAUCUCCUGUUCCUGGAAAGCCUUCAGCCUUCCUUCGAUGACUGAGAACCUCCAUCAGCUCUGUCUCCUGUCUGCCUACAAUUAUUAUAAUAAAUAUUGUGUUUGACAA